This 72-nucleotide transfer RNA is filed under the name Minisyncoccota bacterium. RNAcentral's name for it is "tRNA-Arg". It matches the Rfam family "tRNA". Rfam says of the family: Transfer RNA (tRNA) molecules are approximately 80 nucleotides in length. Their secondary structure includes four short double-helical elements and three loops (D, anti-codon, and T loops). Further hydrogen bonds mediate the characteristic L-shaped molecular structure. tRNAs have two regions of fundamental functional importance: the anti-codon, which is responsible for specific mRNA codon recognition, and the 3' end, to which the tRNAs corresponding amino acid is attached (by aminoacyl-tRNA synthetases). tRNAs cope with the degeneracy of the genetic code in two manners: having more than one tRNA (with a specific anti-codon) for a particular amino acid; and 'wobble' base-pairing, i.e. permitting non-standard base-pairing at the 3rd anti-codon position. Lineage: Bacteria; Bacillati; Minisyncoccota. The record is from RNAcentral.
GUCCCCAUAGCUCAACGGAUAGAGUGGCGGCCUUCUAAGCCGUAGAUCGAGGUUCGAUUCCUCGUGGGGACG